UCUAGAAGCAGGAACACCAACAGAACACCAAUUCCUGUGCUGUUGCACCAGAGCCGCCCCAAGGAGACCCUUCCUUGGCCUGUCCCAGAAGUGGAAACGCCGUCUCUCGGAAUUGCCCCUUUAAUGGCUGCAUGUGGGAGGGAAGGACCUUCCAUUUCUUCUUCCACGUCCUCAUUCGCUUGUUCAAUAUCCACAAAGGCGAACUCUCGGUCCAAACCUCGGGCACAGAAGAAACAUGACAUGUCUUCAUUUUCUCGGAACUGAUUAAAAUUUCACGGAGAGCCUGUAUACUGAAAGGACA
Echinops telfairi (small Madagascar hedgehog) is the source of this 301-nucleotide long non-coding RNA. RefSeq lists it as uncharacterized. NCBI's taxonomy places the organism in Eukaryota, Metazoa, Chordata, Mammalia, Afrosoricida, Tenrecidae. The record is from RefSeq and is a predicted model, not a curated record. The transcript is spliced from 2 exons.